RNAcentral lists this non-coding RNA (924 nucleotides) under Scinax fuscomarginatus (brown-bordered snouted treefrog). Its description in RNAcentral is "partial 12S small subunit ribosomal RNA". It matches the Rfam family "Bacterial small subunit ribosomal RNA". The record is from RNAcentral. Lineage: Eukaryota; Metazoa; Chordata; Amphibia; Anura; Hylidae.
UGGUCCUGGCCUUAUAAUCAAUUAUUACCCAACUUACACAUGCAAGUAUCCGCACCCCUGUGAGAAUGCCCUAUUACCCCUUCAGGGACCUGGAGCCGGUAUCAGGCUCGAACCCCUCAGCCCACGACACCUAGCAUCGCCACACCCACAAGGGUCUACAGCAGUGAUUAACAUUGACCAUAAGCGAAAGCUUGAUUCAGUCAGGGUAAAUAGAGCCGGCAAAUCUGGUGCCAGCCGCCGCGGCCACACCAGAGGCUCAAACUGAUUACACUCGGCGUAAAGCGUGAUUAAAGAUAAAUUAAACUGCAGUUAAACUAGAGCUGAAACGUAAAACCCAUGUAAACCAGGAAAGGCAAAGACGAAAGUCACUGCAAAUUAACCCACUUGACCCCACGACAGUUAGGAUACAAACUGGGAUUAGAUACCCCACUAUGCCUUACCGUAAACCUUAACUUACACCCAAAUCGCCAGGAAACUACGAGCAAUGCUUAAAACCCAAAGGACUUGACGGUGCCCCAUUCCACCUAGAGGAGCCUGUCCUAUAAUCGAUGACCCCCGUUUAACCUCACCACUCUCUGUUACCAGUCUGUAUACCUCCGUCGUCAGCUUACCUCCUGAGAGACCCCCCAGUAAGCAAAAGGGGCCCCACCCCAAAAAGUCAGGUCAAGGUGCAGCUAAUAGAGUGGGAAGAGAUGGGCUACACUCCCUAAAAUAGAACACACGAAAGACCGAAUGAAAUUUUUGUCAGAAGGCGGAUUUAGCAGUAAAACGAGACAAGAGCGCUCGCUUAAACACGGCCCUGGGGUGUGUACACACCGCCCGUCACCCUCUUCGAAAAGUUAGCAACAGUACUUAACUCCUAAUUUACCAUAGAGAAGAGGCAAGUCGUAACAUGGUAAGCCUACCGGAAGGUGCGCUUGGAAA